Molecule: long non-coding RNA, 339 nt
Filed under: Helianthus annuus (common sunflower)
Lineage: Eukaryota; Viridiplantae; Streptophyta; Magnoliopsida; Asterales; Asteraceae
Description: sRNA HanXRQr2_Chr06g0261801
Source: RNAcentral
UUCGAUGAAGAAUACAAAGCAUCCAGUCUCUAAAUUCAUACUAUCCAGACCUCUCUCAAUUCGCAGGUAGAGCAUCCACUUCAACAAACACAGAAGUGAAGGUUAUGUCCGAUUUGAGGGAGAUGGCAGAAUCAGUAUCUUCAAACCCUAAUUCUGAGAUUCCACAACGUCGUUGGGUUCCGCCGCGUCCGUCUAUUUGAGUGACGACCGAGUAUCUUCAAACCCUAAUUUAAGCAACGGAUGACGGCAGAUCCUUCUUCGCUGUUCGCAGAAGAGUUAGUGAACCGUAUCUCUGGAGAGUCUAUGAACUGUCACAGGCUUUACUAUCAACAUAGUUAA